UGCUUGACCUUGAAGCAAUCCUUUUUGAGGCAGAGGUGACGAAGGGGUUGGCAGGCAGGAUUUAUUGUGCUCCGAGGAAUGCAGAGGGAGCACAUGAACAUAAAUAUACAGAGAAACAGGAGCGGGAAUCAUAGAUGGAUCUGGCAGAUAAGACUUGGGCCUGUAUCUAUAAGUAGGUCAAAAGUGUGAUCGUAUCAUCUCCAAUGGAAAUACAAUUCAAAAUCUGGUCUGGGUGGUAUAUGAUGCCAGACAAGCUUCAUUGGAAACAUAAAACAUUAUCUCCAUUAUUCUGGUAAGACUGCAGAGUAAGUAGGAUAGUCAACAUAAAUAAUAGACUUGAGAAGUUAGGUGCAAAAUAUAUAAGGUAACUGGAAAUAUUGCACAGAAAACCAUCCUACUGAGCAAUGCCAAAGUUGUGUGGCCUGCAUGCUGAAGAACUUGGAGCGUUCACCAUAUCCAGUGGAAGCAGAAGAAAGCCAGUGGCAGAGUUACUUGUCCACUGAAGAGUAUGUGGGCAUGACACACCUGAGCUGAUUCCCCUGGUUCUCAUUACACAAAGAAAGAGGAAGAAAAGAGAAGCAGAAAGGUUGGAUGUUGCUAGCAGGUAGUGAAAGCUCUUGCAAAAAAGGUCUUUAGUACUUCAACUGGCCCAGAGAGAAAGGAGAAAAAAGAAUGAAAACAUAUUGAAAGAGAGUGGUAGUGGAGAGAAAUGAAAGGUGAUGAGAAGGUGUGGAAAAAAAGAAACAGAACAAGCAGAAUUGCAGAGUCAGAACAGACUACAUGUUUACUUUCUUUAAAAAGGUACCACCCAGGCAAAGAGAAAACUGGAGUUUUUAUUUGAAUUUCUUUUGCAACGUCUGAGUAAACAUUUACAAGACAAAGAAAAGUGGAAGUCCUAAUCUCUUAACCAGCAUCUCAAGACAAAGACCUCAGAUCUCUGAGUUCAGUUCCCUAAAACAUUCCUACCUAUUGCUCAGAUUCCACCAAUUAUUCCUUUUUCUUUCAUUUUUUUCCCCCUACUAUUAGCUCUUGAACUCCCUGGUUUGUUCUCGAUAUCUUUUGGGUGACUUUUCAAAAUUCAGAUCAUUCCAAAGUAAAAUCUCUAACCGUCCUUUCAACCAAGAGUCUUCUUUCUUUUUGACAUCACGACUUUUCUCUUUGAUAACUUCAAAUGCUUUUCCCUCUUUGCAGUGAGUACUUAAUUUUCACCAGUGGUUUUGCUUUUCUAGCAGACAUGGCAGUAGGACCCUGAAUGUUGUUUAUCUUCUUUGGCCACUGGUUACCUUCUUCUUCUUUUUUUUAAUUUUUUUUAAUUUUUUUUUUUACAUUUCAAUUAUUUUGAUAUAAACAACACUUUCAUUUGUUCAACAUUAUUGUGAGGGAUUUUGUUUUUCCUAAUUAUGCAAAAAUACCCUUGCUUUUAACAUUCAAUUAAAGCUGCCUUUAUGUGUUAACAGCAGCACAACGGAGGUUUUCAUCCUGGGCGCUCCUUUCUCUGACUGUGAAACAAAUAAAAGCCAAGCUUUCGCAUUUCA
Molecule: long non-coding RNA, 1535 nt
Filed under: Chrysolophus pictus (golden pheasant)
Lineage: Eukaryota; Metazoa; Chordata; Aves; Galliformes; Phasianidae
Description: lncRNA (ENSCPIG00010004176.1)
Source: RNAcentral